GCGGGAGGGGCUGAGAGUCUGUGCGAAGGUCGGUGGACAGACUGCACUGCUUGUUGUUGCGCUUCGGAGGCGGCGAUCCCCGAAGGCGAGCUGAAAUACGGCUGGAGCGUUCCCAGGCUACAGUUUGUAGCCGACGAUUAUGGAAGACUAAGAGCCGGAGAGGUGGCCCACCCUCAGGGAGCGCUUGUGCUCGGAGGGCUUCUCAUUUCCCCAAUACCACAUUAAAUCGUCUCAUCUGAGGAGGAUCCACAGAGCUGUCUUCUAUGGUAAUCUGGAGAAACUGGAGUACCUUCUGCUCAUGUAUCAUGACACCAAGGAGAGAGACAAGGAGGAAAGGCUCAGCCGCACCUGGGAUGUGGAAACCUUGGCGGGGGUGAGCACCCAGGCCAUUUUCACUAGCAGCAAAACAAAAACAAAACUUAAGCUGGUUUCCAAUCACUCACCAUGCUUCUUCUUUAUAAAUCAUUUUAAAGUGAUUUCGCCAAUAAAAUUCAGCAUGUACAGCGUUUUAUUUUUAAUGUACACAUUUUAAAGCAUAAUGUUACAUACAUUAUGGAAAGGUGCAUAAUGAGAGAAAUCAUUUCCAUAAUAUAUCAACU
This 599-nucleotide long non-coding RNA is filed under the name Pan troglodytes (chimpanzee). RNAcentral's name for it is "long non-coding RNA NONPTRT010189". The record is from RNAcentral. Lineage: Eukaryota; Metazoa; Chordata; Mammalia; Primates; Hominidae.